AGAACGAACGCUGGCGGCAUGCCUAAUACAUGCAAGUCGAACGAACUCUUCGGAGUUAGUGGCGCACGGGUGCGUAACGCGUGGGAAUCUGCCCCUUGGUUCGGAAUAACAGUUGGAAACGACUGCUAAUACCGGAUGAUGACGAAAGUCCAAAGAUUUAUCGCCAAGGGAUGAGCCCGCGUAGGAUUAGCUAGUUGGUGAGGUAAAGCUCACCAAGGCAACGAUCCUUAGCUGGUCUGAGAGGAUCGAUCAGCCACACUGGGACUGAGACACGGCCCAGACUCGUACGGAGCAGCAGUAGGGAAUAUGACAAGUGGCGAAAGCUGAUCAGCAAUGACCGCGUGAGUGAUGAAGCCUUAGGGUUGUAAAGCUCUUUUACCGAGAUAGAUAAUGAACG
Molecule: ribosomal RNA, 397 nt
Filed under: uncultured soil bacterium
Lineage: Bacteria
Description: bacterial SSU rRNA
Rfam family: Bacterial small subunit ribosomal RNA
Source: RNAcentral